RNAcentral lists this ribosomal RNA (739 nucleotides) under uncultured Staphylococcus sp. RNAcentral's name for it is "bacterial SSU rRNA". It matches the Rfam family "Bacterial small subunit ribosomal RNA", at positions 48 to 769 of the family's 1533-position model. The record is from RNAcentral. Lineage: Bacteria; Bacillati; Bacillota; Bacilli; Caryophanales; Staphylococcaceae.
CUAAUACAUGCAAGUCGAGCGAACGGACGAGAAGCUUGCUUCUCUGAUGUUAGCGGCGGACGGGUGAGUAACACGUGGAUAACCUACCUAUAAGACUGGGAUAACUUCGGGAAACCGGAGCUAAUACCGGAUAAUAUUUUGAACCGCAUGGUUCAAAAGUGAAAGACGGUCUUGCUGUCACUUAUAGAUGGAUCCGCGCUGCAUUAGCUAGUUGGUAAGGUAACGGCUUACCAAGGCAACGAUGCAUAGCCGACCUGAGAGGGUGAUCGGCCACACUGGAACUGAGACACGGUCCAGACUCCUACGGGAGGCAGCAGUAGGGAAUCUUCCGCAAUGGGCGAAAGCCUGACGGAGCAACGCCGCGUGAGUGAUGAAGGUCUUCGGAUCGUAAAACUCUGUUAUUAGGGAAGAACAUAUGUGUAAGUAACUGUGCACAUCUUGACGGUACCUAAUCAGAAAGCCACGGCUAACUACGUGCCAGCAGCCGCGGUAAUACGUAGGUGGCAAGCGUUAUCCGGAAUUAUUGGGCGUAAAGCGCGCGUAGGCGGUUUUUUAAGUCUGGUGUGAAAGCCCACGGCUCAACCGUGGAGGGUCAUUGGAAACUGGAAAACUUGAGUGCAGAAGAGGAAAGUGGAAUUCCAUGUGUAGCGGUGAAAUGCGCAGAGAUAUGGAGGAACACCAGUGGCGAAGGCGACUUUCUGGUCUGUAACUGACGCUGAUGUGCGAAAGCGUGGGGAUC